GGACAUGGGGGGCGAUCUUGCUGUGACACGUGUCACCCAUUGAUCUCCAGGGUUGAUUCGGCUGAUCUGGCUGGUUAGGCAGGUGUCCCCUUUCUCCCUCACUGAUCCAUGUGCCUCCCUCCGGGAGGUGAGCACUUCUGGACAACCUUCCCUGAAUAGAGGACUGUUUUUUGGUCAAGGGUAUGGGAGUAGCUGCGCUUCCUGCUAGAACCUCUAAGCAAGCUCAAGGCCAUUUUUGUGAAUGAGAGAGGUGAGGCUCAGGACUC
RNAcentral lists this small nuclear RNA (266 nucleotides) under Meriones unguiculatus (Mongolian gerbil). Its description in RNAcentral is "7SK RNA (ENSMUGG00000008614.1)". It matches the Rfam family "7SK RNA", at positions 1 to 284 of the family's 331-position model. Rfam says of the family: 7SK was discovered as an abundant small nuclear RNA in the mid-70s but a possible function has only recently been suggested. Two independent studies have found that 7SK RNA binds the CDK9/cyclin T complex (known as elongation factor P-TEFb). The record is from RNAcentral. Lineage: Eukaryota; Metazoa; Chordata; Mammalia; Rodentia; Muridae.